RNAcentral lists this ribosomal RNA (482 nucleotides) under uncultured bacterium. Its description in RNAcentral is "bacterial SSU rRNA". It matches the Rfam family "Bacterial small subunit ribosomal RNA", at positions 32 to 524 of the family's 1533-position model. The record is from RNAcentral.
AAUCAACGCUGGCGGCGUGCCUCAGACAUGCAAGUCGAACGAUUAAAGCUCUCUUCGGAGAGUGUAUAGAGUGGCGCACGGGUGAGUAACACGUAAGUAAUCUACCUUUGAGUGGGGAAUAACCCGGGGAAACCCGAGCUAAUACCGCAUAAUGCAGCGGCACCGCAAGGUGACAGUUGUUAAAGGAGCAAUCCGCUUAAAGAGGAGCUUGCGGCAGAUUAGCUAGNGGUAAGGUAAUGGCUUACCAAGGCUUCGAUCUGUAUCCGGCCUGAGAGGGCGGUCGGACACACUGACACUGAAUAACGGGUCAGACUCCUACGGGAGGCAGCAGUCGGGAAUUUUGGGCAAUGGGCGAAAGCCUGACCCAGCAACGCCGCGUGAAGGAUGAAGUAUUUCGGUAUGUAAACUUCGAAAGAAUGGGAAGAAUCAAUGACGGUACCAUUUAUAAGUCCGGCUAACUACGUGCCAGCAGCCGCCGUAAG